Drosophila virilis is the source of this 988-nucleotide non-coding RNA. The record is from RefSeq and is a predicted model, not a curated record. NCBI's taxonomy places the organism in Eukaryota, Metazoa, Arthropoda, Insecta, Diptera, Drosophilidae.
GGCCUGGCAGCGCAUUCAGUUGGUGUUCCGGUUUCGGGUUGUGCUGUUAGUUGCCUUUUCCUGCACAGCCAAAGCAGAGCUAAGCGGAGACGCGUCGCGGUCGUGCCUGUGUCUUUGUCUGUGUUUGUGACUUGGACUGUGACUGUGUAUGGAAGCGCGUGCGUGCGUGUGUGUAUGUGUGUGUUUGUUGUCUGUCGUCGCUUAGCACUGCGCGCGCGUUUUGUCAGUGUAUGUGUGCUUGUUUGUAUGUGUGUGCGCGUGUGCCCGUGAUUCUCUGUGCUUCUCUGUGCAUAUGUGUGUGUGUGCGUGUGCGUGUUAAAACAGUGUGACCAUAUAUAUAUAUAUAUACAUAUAUAUAUAUAUAUAUAUUAAUGUAUGUGCGUGCCUGCGUUUAUUGUGCACCAAUAUACAUACACUAAUACAUAAGUCCACAUACAUGGCAACUUUUAAGCGCCCAGCAGGAUGCUCAAGCAGCAGCAGCAGCAGCUAAGAAACAAAAAAUGAGAAGAAAACAAUACUAGCAGCAAAAAAUGCAACAACAGCACACAAUGGAUGUUAGAACUAAUUGAAAAGAACACCAUAAAAUAAAUCAGCGCAAAUAGAAAAUACUGUUUUAAUAGUUAUGUCAAGCAAUAUUUUAAUGUUUGAGUGAGAAGCACAGAAACAAAUAAUAAUACCAAAAAGUGUUUGUGCUUGUGGAAAAUAAGAAAAUUAAGAGAGAACCAAUCCCAAAAAACCAUGAAUUGGAAAAGUGCGUGAAAAGCAAAAACAACUGAAAACCAAACGAAAUUCAAUCUCUUAUUGAAGCAAUUGCAAAAGGUUUAAAAAUAAAAAACAGCACAAACUAUAAACAUAAAUUACAAAAAAUGUUUAAGGCAACCAAAAGAAAAUUUUGAAAUUUAUUGUAAAUAUUGAGAAGCUAUAAAAGUUCUUUACAUCUUCAACUUAUACAAACAAAUACCAAAAGUAAAUUACAACAAAAAAAAAA